RNAcentral lists this ribosomal RNA (467 nucleotides) under uncultured bacterium. Its description in RNAcentral is "partial 16S ribosomal RNA". It matches the Rfam family "Bacterial small subunit ribosomal RNA", at positions 28 to 506 of the family's 1533-position model. The record is from RNAcentral.
GACGAACGCUGGCGGCGUGCUUAACACAUGCAAGUCGAACGGAAAGGCCCUGCUUUUGUGGGGUGCUCGAGUGGCGAACGGGUGAGUAACACGUGAGUAACCUGCCCUUGACUUUGGGAUAACUUCAGGAAGCUGGGGCUAAUACCGGAUAGGAGCUCCUGCUGCAUGGUGGGGGUUGGAAAGUUUCGGCGGUUGGGGAUGGACUCGCGGCUUAUCAGCUUGUUGGUGGGGUAGUGGCUUACCAAGGCUUUGACGGGUAGCCGGCCUGAGAGGGUGACCGGCCACAUUGGGACUGAGAUACGGCCCAGACUCCUACGGGAGGCAGCAGUGGGGAAUAUUGCACAAUGGGCGGAAGCCUGAGGCAGCAACGCCGCGUGCGGGAGGACGGCCUUCGGGUUGUAAACCGCUUUCGCCUGUGACGAAGCGUGAGUGACGGUAAUGGGUAAAGAAGCACCGGCUAACUACGU